Molecule: long non-coding RNA, 202 nt
Organism: Notothenia coriiceps (black rockcod)
Lineage: Eukaryota; Metazoa; Chordata; Actinopteri; Perciformes; Nototheniidae
Exons: 3
Source: RefSeq, a predicted model, not a curated record
AUAACCUCUGUUUUCCUCUCUCAGCCCAAGAAGAAGAACAUGACAGCGUACCAGGUGUUCUGUAAGGAGUACAGAGUCAACAUUAAUGCAGAACAGCCGGGACUAGUCUUUGGUGAGCUAAGCAAAAAGCUGGCGGAGGUGUGGAAGGCGAUGCCAGAGAAAGACAAGCUGGUGUGGAAGCAGUCAGAAGAGGCUUAACAGA